UCUUCACAGAGCUAAGGAACAUCCUGAAAGCCAAAAAUCAAAUUGAAUAGUAAAAAAAUUAAUGUGAAUAUGCCAAACAAAAUCGCACUCAAGAAAAAUAAAAUUGCUGAAGCAUUAAAUUGUCAAGAAAACAUAAAGAAAGUACAAAAAAAGAAAUAAAGUAUGUAAUUAUAUUCCUCUUCUUCCCUUUUCUUUAUCUUUCAUUUAUUCCUUUGCUGUGUUUCUCCCAAUUCUUUCAUUACUUGCCCACUUUUUCCCGAUUGUAAACAAAAUGGCUCAAAAUAAGCUAAAAAUGCUUAAGCAUUAAUUUGUCAAGAAAGCAUAAGCAAAUGCAAAAGAAAAAAAAAAGAGAAGAUGCUACCAAAAAAAUAAAAAAAGAGCAAGCAUAAAGAAAGUACAAAAGAAAAUCAAAAGUAUGUAUCUAUAUUAUUCUUCUUUUUCCCUUUUCUUUUCCUUUCACUUAUUCCUUUGUUCUGUUUCUCCUCCGAAUUCCUUAUUUUCUUAUCUACUUUUUCCCCACUAAAUAUGGGGCACCAGUGCUCUCUCUAUAAAGAUGAAUAGCACCUAUGUGUUGGUAACUAGCACCAUGCCUUUUUUUUGCUGUCAUAAUCUGCAAAUCUGACAGAACAAUAUAGUAGCUCUGAUUUGCUUGCUUGCCACAAGGCCUUGGCUUUCAGCUUAGAAAAUAUUUUCAGACUUUUAUUGCGUCAGGUGUUAAACAUAAAUGAACAGAUGCAUAUGUUGAAUGGAAACAUACCCCCAAGGAACAUCUCCAACAAG
Molecule: unclassified non-coding RNA, 780 nt
Filed under: Hevea brasiliensis (rubber tree)
Lineage: Eukaryota; Viridiplantae; Streptophyta; Magnoliopsida; Malpighiales; Euphorbiaceae
Source: RNAcentral